UGUGUCUCUAGUCCCUGCUCUGAAAAUGGACCACAGUGUCGGGGGAGAAAGGGCUGAUUGGCAGCAGCAGUGUAAAGGACAAGGUAGAGGUACCUGGGGGGUCCCAGCCAUCCUCAGAGGCACAGCAGAGGCACCAAACGUGGGCACUGUAACCACUGGGGAUAGUUUCUCUGAGGCCUUAAAGGCAGAGUAGGAGUUUUCAGGUAAAGGGGAGGGUGUUAAAAGAAAAGAGAACAGCGUGAGUGAUUCCUGGAGGGGAAGGAACUGCUGUAGAGAUAAAGUAAGAGAAGCUCCAGAGAGGUGGCAGGGUCCCUGCAGCCAGAGGCCUGAGGAAUCGGUUUUGGGGCACUUCAAAAGGGUUUUAAGCAAUCCAUCAAAAUGUCUUUUCAUGAAGAUCACUUGGGUUCUAGAGUAAAGAUGGUUUCUAAGGCUUAAAGCCCAAGCUGAGGAACCUUGAUUUGACCAAACAACAAGAAACAACUCUUCAGUCACUUGAUGCCAAAUUCAUGCAAGAGCCGCAGACCCGGGUCCCCUUCUGUUGGCCCUCGUACAGAUGCAUAGGUGGCAUUUGGGAUGGAAGGGGCAUUUCUUUGAGCUGCUACCUUCCAAGGGAGAGUCUGCUCCUCCUCCCGCUGUAUUUCUGACACCCCUAGAGCCGGCCCGAUAGAGAAGAAGCACCGAGAUUGUGAGCAGUGAACCUCUGCUCAUUUCAGGAAUGGAGGCGUCUGAGACCCCUGAGGCUUGGAAGGCACGGCAAGAGCCAGUCCUGGAGGAGAGGGAAGGGUAACAUGCACAACUGCCCCGACCUUCCAGACUGACUGGAGUACCUGCCCAGGCCGAAGGGUGGCAGCACCUCCCAGGCCCGAUUGAUGACAAUCACACAGGGUUGGUCUUCAUUCCUGGUCCAACUCAGACCGGCGGAAACCAGAGUCUCUGAAGGAGGGGCCCAGGAAUCUGCAUGCCAGGUUCUUCACAUCAGACAAGGCUGAAAAGCAGUGCUAGGAGAAGAAGGCAGAGCAAAGAGGAAACCAGGAAGCCAUCCCGACUACCCAGAUGGCAAAAUCGACACCAAGAGCCCAGUGGGGAGAAAACCCUGGGAACGGCUCCUAAAAAGGGUUACAUUCCAGCUGCGCCUGAGAUCUUAGAGAUGGAAUGACAUGGAAGGAAUGAUAGCUAUCAUGGCAGAAAGGAGCAGGCAUGCUUUUGUCAGGCCUGGGUGAAGCAAAAGGGCCAUUUCAGGAAACAGAGACAGAUUCCAAAUAUCUUCAGCAAACAUUCACAGAGCUCUUUGCUUGGGUACAGAAGAUAGAGACAAAUCGCACACAGUCCCGUGCUUAAAGAGCUCAAA
Molecule: non-coding RNA, 1348 nt
Organism: Manis javanica (Malayan pangolin)
Lineage: Eukaryota; Metazoa; Chordata; Mammalia; Pholidota; Manidae
Source: RefSeq, a predicted model, not a curated record